Molecule: ribosomal RNA, 464 nt
Filed under: uncultured bacterium
Lineage: Bacteria
Description: partial 16S ribosomal RNA
Rfam family: Bacterial small subunit ribosomal RNA
Source: RNAcentral
GACGAACGCUGGCGGCGUGCUUAACACAUGCAAGUCGAACGGAAAGGCCCCUUCGGGGGUACUCGAGUGGCGAACGGGUGAGCAACACGUGAGUAACCUGCCCUUGACUUCGGGAUAACUUCAGGAAACUGGGGCUAAUACCGGAUAGGAAUCCUUGCUGCAUGGUGGGGGUUGGAAAGCUUCGGCGGUUUUGGAUGGACUCGCGGCUUAUCAGCUUGUUGGUGGGGUAGUGGCUUACCAAGGCUUUGACGGGUAGCCGGCCUGAGAGGGCGACCGGCCACAUUGGGACUGAGAUACGGCCCAGACUCCUACGGGAGGCAGCAGUGGGGAAUAUUGCACAAUGGGCGGAAGCCUGAUGCAGCAACGCCGCGUGCGGGAUGACGGCCUUCGGGUUGUAAACCGCUUUCAGCAGGGGCGAAGCUUGUGGUGACGGUACCUGCAGAAGAAGCACCGGCUAACUACGU